RNAcentral lists this ribosomal RNA (341 nucleotides) under uncultured Pseudomonadota bacterium. RNAcentral describes it as "bacterial SSU rRNA". It matches the Rfam family "Bacterial small subunit ribosomal RNA", at positions 29 to 351 of the family's 1533-position model. Lineage: Bacteria; Pseudomonadati; Pseudomonadota. The record is from RNAcentral.
AACGAACGCUGGCGGCGUGCCUAACACAUGCAAGUCGAACGAGAAAUCCUGGGCAACUGGGAGAGUAAAGUGGCGCACGGGUGAGUAACGCGUGGGUAACCUACCCUUAAAUUGGGGAUAACUCUUCGAAAGGGGAGUUAAUACCGAAUAAUAUUCUAAUUCUCUCGGGAGUUGGAUUCAAAGGUGGCCUCUGCAUGCAAGCUAUCGUUUAAGGAUGGGCCCGCGUACCAUUAGCUAGUUGGUAGGGUAAUAGCCUACCAAGGCAACGAUGGUUAGCUGGUCUGAGAGGAUGGCCAGCCACACUGGAACUGAGACACGGUCCAGACUCCUACGGGUGGCUG